RNAcentral lists this ribosomal RNA (449 nucleotides) under uncultured bacterium. RNAcentral describes it as "partial 16S ribosomal RNA". It matches the Rfam family "Bacterial small subunit ribosomal RNA", at positions 354 to 795 of the family's 1533-position model. The record is from RNAcentral.
GUGGGGAAUAUUGGACAAUGGGCGAAAGCCUGAUCCAGCCAUGCCGCGUGUGUGAAGAAGGUCUUCGGAUUGUAAAGCACUUUAAGUUGGGAGGAAGGGCAUUAACCUAAUACGUUAGUGUUUUGACGUUACCGACAGAAUAAGCACCGGCUAACUUCGUGCCAGCAGCCGCGGUAAUACGAAGGGUGCAAGCGUUAAUCGGAAUUACUGGGCGUAAAGCGCGCGUAGGUGGUUCGUUAAGUUGGAUGUGAAAGCCCCGGGCUCAACCUGGGAACUGCAUCCAAAACUGGCGAGCUAGAGUACGGUAGAGGGUGGUGGAAUUUCCUGUGUAGCGGUGAAAUGCGUAGAUAUAGGAAGGAACACCAGUGGCGAAGGCGACCACCUGGACUGAUACUGACACUGAGGUGCGAAAGCGUGGGGAGCAAACAGGAUUAGAAACCCCUGUAGUC